CGAAGGGGGCUAGCGUUGUUCGGAAUUACUGGGCGUAAAGGGCGCGUAGGCGGUCUGAUAAGUUAGAUGUGAAAUUCCCGGGCUUAACCUGGGGGCUGCAUUUGAUACUGUCAGGCUUGAAUCCAGGAGAGGAUAGUGGAAUUCCCAGUGUAGAGGUGAAAUUCGUAGAUAUUGGGAAGAACACCAGUGGCGAAGGCGGCUAUCUGGACUGGUAUUGACGCUGAGGCGCGAAAGCGUGGGGAGCAAACAGGAUUAGAUACCCUGGUAGUCCACGCCGUAAACGAUGAGUGCUAGACGCUGGUAGGUUUACCUAUCGGUGUCGCAGCUAACGCAUUAAGCACUCCGCCUGGGGAGUACGGUCGCAAGAUUA
This 370-nucleotide ribosomal RNA is filed under the name uncultured organism. Its description in RNAcentral is "bacterial SSU rRNA". It matches the Rfam family "Bacterial small subunit ribosomal RNA", at positions 526 to 896 of the family's 1533-position model. The record is from RNAcentral.